Molecule: ribosomal RNA, 253 nt
Filed under: uncultured bacterium
Lineage: Bacteria
Description: partial 16S ribosomal RNA
Rfam family: Bacterial small subunit ribosomal RNA
Source: RNAcentral
CACGUAGGGCGCGAGCGUUGUCCGGAAUUAUUGGGCGUAAAGAGCUCGUAGGCGGCUUGUCGCGUCGGCUGUGAAAGUCCAGGGCUCAACCCUGGGAUGCCGGUGGAUACUGUCGGGCUCGAGUCCGGAAGAGGCGAGUGGAAUUCCUGGUGUAGCGGUGAAAUGCGCAGAUAUCAGGAGGAACACCAAUGGCGAAGGCAGCUCGCUGGGAAGUGACUGACGCUGAGACGCGAAAGCGUGGGGAGCAAACAGG